UAGAGAGUAGGAAUGGGAGAUUUGUGGAGUGUGUAUGGUGGGAAUUACUUAUAGGUUCCUAUAAAUUAGUGGUUGGCAAGAGGAAUUUGUUGUUGUGUGCUUGUUAUAUAUUACUAUGUGUCCUAUAGGGGGAUGCCGACAUUGGUUGUCACUACUAGAGGGGUUAGGUUUGGAAAAUUAUAUAGUAGGAAAGGGAGAUCCGUGAAGUGUGUAUGGUGGGAAUUACAUAUAGGUUGUUGUAAAGUAGUGGUUGACAAGGGGAAUUU
This 266-nucleotide long non-coding RNA is filed under the name Carica papaya (papaya). RNAcentral describes it as "long non-coding RNA (CPAP_LNC004963)". Lineage: Eukaryota; Viridiplantae; Streptophyta; Magnoliopsida; Brassicales; Caricaceae. The record is from RNAcentral.